This 405-nucleotide unclassified non-coding RNA is filed under the name soil metagenome. Its description in RNAcentral is "partial contains 5.8S ribosomal RNA, internal transcribed spacer 2, and large subunit ribosomal RNA". The stretch from base 1 to 121 matches the Rfam family "5.8S ribosomal RNA", at positions 35 to 154 of the family's 154-position model. The record is from RNAcentral.
GAUGAAGAACGUAGCGAAAUGCGAUAAGUAAUGUGAAUUGCAGAAUUCAGUGAAUCAUCGAAUCUUUGAACGCACCUUGCGCCCUUUGGCUAUUCCAGAGGGCAUGCCUGUUUGAGUAUCAUGAACACCCCAACUCUCAUGGUUCUGCCAUGAUGAGCUUGGACUUUGGAGGUCUUGCUGGCCCCUGUGGUCAGCUCCUCUCAAAUGGAUCAGCUUGCCAGUGUUUGGUGGCAUCACAGGUGUGAUAACUAUCUACGCUUGUGGUUUUCCACCAGGUAACCUUCAGUGAUGGAGGUUCGCUGGAGCUCAUAAACGUCUCUCCUCAGCGAGGACAGCUUCUUGAACGUUUGAUCUCAAAUCAGGUAGGGCUACCCGCUGAACUUAAGCAUAUCAAUAAGCGGAGGA